GAUCGCCGGAUGUGGGUGGGUGGGUGGCCUUAGUGCCGCGCACGCGCCGGAAUGUUCUCCAGGUAAGGGGCAGCGUCCGUGUACGGACGCUCCCAGGGCUCGGAAGCUCCGUGUCUGUCCUGUCCCGGGUGCGGCUUGGAGCCGCUCGGUAAGUGUCUCGGGAUUAGGACCCCCGGGCUUCCCCACUCGUGCUCCGUGGGCUCCGGUCCGGUCGCGCGGCGCCUGCCUCCGCCGUUGCCCUGCUCCGCUUGCUUUUCUGUGAUUGUGCGUGAGCCCCAGCCCAGCUUCUCAGCGCGAAUUACCAUGCUUUGCCCGGCUCAUACCCGGAGUUUGAAUCUUGUCGGCUGCUCCUCCUCUCUCGCAAUUAUCAACAUUGACGUUCCCUUUCCCCAUCACUCACAUGUUGUGAAUUCUAUGGCAUGGCGUUCAUCACCCUGCGGAGGGCCUUUUGUCAUAAGUCCAUUCUUUGGAUACCUGGAGCUGUGGUUGCUCUGAAAAUUCACCCUGCCAGUCAUGCCCCAAAGGCAGUCACAGAUCGCCUGAGUGUGUGCUUCUGCUCCCUACAACCUGAGCUGUUCAGGGUCAGAUUCCAUCACGCAUACUGUAAAAACUUCCACUCAGAAAAGGGAAAUGACUUUCAUCCCGUGGGCGAGCCAUGGUCCUCCCAGGCGCAGGAAUGGAACCAGCCAGGACAGAGUCUUCAAAACGAGGAUGAAGAGAUGCUUUUCAGGAGACUAAGCUACUUCACUUCCUUUGAGGAAGUGCUGAGUUUCAUAAGUGCCCUGGACACCCUGCCUGUCCCUCUGGCAAUGGCAGCUCUACUCAGGAUCUGUGAGAUAGGGAGGAGGGAUGGUGAGCAAAGGCUGCCAGAAGGAGUGCUGGAGAACCGUGCCUUCCAGGCUCUUUGCCUCCGGUGUGAGCGAGACCCCUCACACCUGACCAAUGCUGGUUUGGUGACAGCUUUGCAAUCUCUGCUUACGUUGUUGCCUGCAGAUCCUCAAAGUAGCCUGAUGCUGAGCCUGGUGGCAGAAUGCCAACGUCGUCUCCAAAGAGGCAACCUCGAAGUCCACCAUCUUUGUGUCCUUGGGGAAAGUCUGGCCAUGCUUCAAGGUGCGAGUUGUGAGACCCUGAAGCUGGUUGUCCGUCAACUUCAAAGUAAAAGUGUGGAAACAUUUGCUCCAGAGGAGAUCACGUCCGUUUAUAGGAUUCUGCAGGUGUGUCCUGAAGAAGUAGACAAACACCAGAUGUUCUUAAACACAUUAAACAACUUCUCCAUUUCAGUAGUUCCCUACCUGAGCCCUAAAUCCAUUAGCCAUGUCCUCACCGCCUUAGUGGCCCUGGACCAGACUCACGCACUCCCACUGCUUAUAAAGCUGGGCAAGUACGUUGUGAGAUACAUCCCCCGUUUUACCAACGAAGAGCUCAGGAAGGUCUUGGAGGCGUUUGUCUAUUUCGGACACAGUGACAGGUUCUUCACAGAGGCCUUAGAGCAACAUGUGUCCGCCCUGUGCUUCUCCCUGGACCCCGCUGUGGCCAGCUCCGUGAUGGGGUACUGCAGCAGGAAACGGAUUCUCUCCAAGCCCAUCUUCGACGUAGUCUCAGAGAUCGUUGUUUGCCAGUGGGACAGACUUUCACCUAGUCAGAUUGCCGAGCUAAUUGAGCCAUUUGGAAAGCUCAAUUACGUGCCACCAAACGCCCCUGCCCUGUUUAGGAAGGUAGAAAAUGUGCUCUGUGCCCGUUUACAUCACUUCCCACCAAAGAUGCUACUGAGGCUCCUUCAUUCAUGUGCGCUGAUUGAGCGACAUCCCGUCAACUUCAUGUCAAAACUAUUCAGCCCCUUUUUCCUUCAGCGGCUGCAAGGUAAAGAGUCAUAUUUGGACAGAUUGAGCCUGGCACAGCUGACCCAACUUUUCCUAACCUCCGUCCUAGAGUGUCCGUUCUAUAAGGGCCCCAAACUUCUUCCUAAAUAUCAAGUGAAGUCAUUUCUCACUCCAUGCUGCUCCUUAGAGACGCCCCUGGAUCUCCAUCUGUAUAAGUCUGUGGUGAUUGGACUGAUUGAUCUUUUAGGAUCAAGACUGUAUUUUGCUUCAAAGGUGUUGACGCCCUAUUACUACACUAUAGCCUCGGCCCUCUGAUAAAGGCAUUGUGGAAGAAAUGAACCAGCACGAGGAACACAGGAAGAUAGUGUUGUUGAGGGAUUUUUCCUUUCUUUUGCCAGAUGUUGAAGUUAAAUUAGAUGAAGAUGGAUUUGUAUUGCCGUGUACAGUGGAUGAGGAUAUCCACAAAAGGGUGGCGCUGUGUAUUGAUGGGCCACAGCGAUUUUGCUUGGACAGUAAACACUUACUUGGAAAAGAGGCUACUAAGCAGAGACACCUGCGGUUACUUGGUUACCAGGUUGUUCAGCUUCCCUAUCAUGAGCUGGAGCUGCUUACAUCAAGACUUGAGUUGGUGGACUAUUUACAAAGGAAGCUGUUUUCUCAAAGCUCCGCUGUCCACUGGUAAUAGAGGAAACUGGCUUCAGGAUUCUCGGUGAAAAAGAUGAUAUUUGUAAGAGAGACAGUUUAAUCUGUGAAUUAGCCACUCUAUGGAAAUUAUGUUUACAGACUUGGGAUCUGAAAAGGGUCUGCGGUUUUUCUUAUACCAUGUAUAUGUGUAUUGGUGGUAAAUUUGGAAUUAAUUUAAUGCUAGUAUCUUAGAUGCCUUCACCGCAUCGAGCAGGAUUAUUCAAAUGCAAUAAAGCAAUGUAACAAGUAAA
Mus musculus (house mouse) is the source of this 2755-nucleotide RNA transcript. It is a transcript of the gene named FAST kinase domains 3, with no coding region annotated. The record is from RefSeq and is marked validated. Lineage: Eukaryota; Metazoa; Chordata; Mammalia; Rodentia; Muridae. The transcript has 7 exons.